This 280-nucleotide unclassified non-coding RNA is filed under the name Arachnopeziza sp. RNAcentral's name for it is "partial contains small subunit ribosomal RNA, internal transcribed spacer 1, and 5.8S ribosomal RNA". The stretch from base 1 to 46 matches the Rfam family "Eukaryotic small subunit ribosomal RNA", at positions 1786 to 1831 of the family's 1831-position model. Lineage: Eukaryota; Fungi; Ascomycota; Leotiomycetes; Helotiales; Arachnopezizaceae. The record is from RNAcentral.
AAGUCGUAACAAGGUUUCCGUAGGUGAACCUGCGGAAGGAUCAUUAGAAUGAGAGCCGGUCCGCGUGGUAAGGUCUGAAAAACCUCACGUGCCAGUAAGUGACCGUAAACCUCCACCCGUGCUUAUAUUACAACUGUUGCUUUGGUAGGCCGCGCACCGCAAGGUGAGAGCACCGGCUUCGGCUGGAGAGUGCCUGCCAGAGGACCCAAACUCUGAAAUUUAGUGACGUCUGAGUACUAUUUAAUAGUUAAAACUUUCAACAACGGAUCUCUUGGUUCUG